RNAcentral lists this ribosomal RNA (425 nucleotides) under uncultured Bacteroidota bacterium. RNAcentral describes it as "bacterial SSU rRNA". It matches the Rfam family "Bacterial small subunit ribosomal RNA", at positions 355 to 774 of the family's 1533-position model. The record is from RNAcentral. Lineage: Bacteria; Pseudomonadati; Bacteroidota.
UGAGGAAUAUUGGUCAAUGGGCGGGAGCCUGAACCAGCCAAGCCGCGUGAGGGAAGAAGGCCCUAUGGGUCGUAAACCUCUUUUGUCAGGGAACAAAAGCGAGUAUGUAUACUGGUCUGAGUGUACCUGAAGAAAAAGCAUCGGGCUAACUCCGUGCCAGCGCCUGCAGGUAAUACGGAGGAUGCGAGCGUUAUCCGGAUUUAUUGGGUUUAAAGGGUGCGUAGGCGGCGGUGCAAGUCAGCGGUAAAAGCCCGGGGCUCAACCCCGGCGAGCCGUUGAAACUGCAGUGCUAGAGAAGGCGAGAGGUACGCGGAAUGCGCAGUGUAGCGGUGAAAUGCUUAGAUAUUUGCGCAGAACUUCCGAUUGCGAAGGCAGCGUACUGGCGCCUGACUGACGCUGAGGCACGAAAGCGUGGGGAUCGAACA